This 337-nucleotide RNase P RNA is filed under the name bovine gut metagenome. RNAcentral describes it as "Bacterial RNase P class A". It matches the Rfam family "Bacterial RNase P class A". From Rfam's summary of the family: Ribonuclease P (RNase P) is a ubiquitous endoribonuclease, found in archaea, bacteria and eukarya as well as chloroplasts and mitochondria. Its best characterised activity is the generation of mature 5'-ends of tRNAs by cleaving the 5'-leader elements of precursor-tRNAs. The record is from RNAcentral.
AGUAAGCUGAGCAGCUGCGGGUGCAAUUCCGAAAGGAAGCAUCUGAGGAAAGUCCGGGCUUCUUCGGGCGGAAUAACGGCUAACGGCCGCCGGGGGCGACCCCAGGGAAAGUGCAACAGAAAGAAACCGCCGGCUUCUGCCGGUAAGGAUGGAAAGGCGAGGUAAGAGCUCACCGGCAUGCGGGAGACCGCAUGGCCCUGUAAACCCUAUUCGAAGCAACACCGUGGAGGGACAAUCCGUUGCCCGACGGGUCCCGCGGAGGUGGCGUGAGCCUGCCGGCAACGGCAGGCCAAGAUAGAUGGCUGCUUUUAACAAGACCCGGCUUACAGGCUUAGUC